AGAGUUUGAGCGCAUCUGUAAGAGAGAGGUGAAGGUGCCUGGUUUGGUGAUAAUGAGAGAUGUAACCAUUGCUAAAUCUGAGUUUGUUGAAGUUUAGAAGGCUGUGACCAAACUUCAGGACUUCCAGGAAGAUCCCGAUCUUUUCCGCUAUUGCACUUUACCACAGAUCCUGAAGUAUGUGGAGUGUUCCACUGGACCCACAUCAUGGCCAUGCACACCAUGCUCAUCAACAAACCACUUGACACGUGUAUAUGUGCAAACCUGGCCAUCUCCUGUCACUACGCCAGCUCUGACUGCUUUACAUUGAUGUAAAAAGGAUCAGCUCAGGAGAACAUCAGCAAUGAAGUGAAAGAACUUGCAGCUAAGAAGUAUGGAGUUGAUGAUACAGUCACAUUUGAGGACACCUGGGCUUUGCGGGGACAUCUGAUCCAAGGAAACCGAACAUCACUGUGAUUGCCAGUGCUCAUCUGUCUGCUUAGAGAGAGAACAGCUUCACAACUGGAAUGAUUUACAGCACACAGCUGUUUGUUAAUUAUUAAACAAUUGCCCUAAAAACUAAUAAUUAAAUAUGCUUUCACUAACUAAAAAAA
Long non-coding RNA from Cyprinus carpio (common carp), 590 nucleotides. RefSeq lists it as uncharacterized. The record is from RefSeq and is a predicted model, not a curated record. Lineage: Eukaryota; Metazoa; Chordata; Actinopteri; Cypriniformes; Cyprinidae. The transcript is spliced from 4 exons.